This 492-nucleotide ribosomal RNA is filed under the name uncultured bacterium. RNAcentral describes it as "partial 16S ribosomal RNA". It matches the Rfam family "Bacterial small subunit ribosomal RNA", at positions 29 to 507 of the family's 1533-position model. The record is from RNAcentral.
AGUGAACGCUGGCGGUAGGCCUAACACAUGCAAGUCGAACGGCAGCACAGUAAGAGCUUGCUCUUACGGGUGGCGAGUGGCGGACGGGUGAGGAAUACAUCGGAAUCUACUUUUUCGUGGGGGAUAACGUAGGGAAACUUACGCUAAUACCGCAUACGACCUACGGGUGAAAGCAGGGGAUCUUCGGACCUUGCGCGAUUGAAUGAGCCGAUGUCGGAUUAGCUAGUUGGCGGGGUAAAGGCCCACCAAGGCGACGAUCCGUAGCUGGUCUGAGAGGAUGAUCAGCCACACUGGAACUGAGACACGGUCCAGACUCCUACGGGAGGCAGCAGUGGUGAAUAUUGGACAAUGGGCGCAAGCCUGAUCCAGCCAUACCGCGUGGGUGAAGAAGGCCUUCGGGUUGUAAAGCCCUUUUGUUGGGAAAGAAAAGCAGCAGGUUAAUACCCCGCUGUUCUGACGGUACCCAAAGAAUAAGUACCGGCUAACUUCGUG